UCGCGUGAGGGAUGAAGGCCUUCGGGUUGUAAACCUCGGAAAUUAUCGAAGAAUGAGUGACAGUAGAUAAUGUAAGCCUCGGCUAACUACGUGCCAGCAGCCGCGGUAAUACGUAGGAGGCAAACGUUGCUCGGAUUUACUGGGCGUAAAGGGUGAGUAGGCGGACUUAUAAGUCUAAGGUGAAAGACCGAAGCUCAACUUCGGAAACGCCUCGGAUACUGUAAGUCUUGGAUAUUGUAGGGGAUGAUGGAAUUCUCGGUGUAGCGGUGGAAUGCGCAGAUAUCGAGAGGAACACCUAUAGCGAAGGCAGUCAUCUGGGCAUUUAUCGACGCUGAAUCACGAAAGCUAGGGGAGCAAACAGGCUUAGAUACCCUGGUAGUCCUAGCCGUAAACGUUGUACACUAGGUGCUUCUAUUUAAAUAGGAGUGCCGUAGCUAACGUCUUAAGUGUACCGCCUGAGGAGUAUGCCCGCAAGGGUGAAACUCAAAGAAAUUGACGGGUCCCCGCACAAGUGGUGGAGCAUGUGGUUUAAUUCGAUGAUACGCGAAAAACCUUACCUGGGUUUGAAUUGUAAGAUGAAUGAUUUAGAGAUAAGUCAGACCGCAAGGACGUUUUACAUAGGUGCUGCAUGGCUGUCGUCAGCUCGUGUCGUGAGAUGUUGGGUUAAGUCCCGCAACGAGCGCAACCCUCACCCUUUGUUGCUACCGAGUAAUGUCGGGCACUCUUAGGGGACUGCCUACGUUCAAGUAGGAGGAAGGUGGGGAUGAUGUCAAGUCCUCAUGGCCCUUAUGUCCAGGGCUACACACGUGCUACAAUGGCAAGUACAAAGAGAAGCAAGACCGCGAGGUGGAGCAAAACUCAAAAAAGUUGCCUCAGUUCGGAUUGGAGUCUGAAACUCGACUCCAUGAAGUUGGAAUCACUAGUAAUCGUAGAUCAGAACGCUACGGUGAAUACGUUCCCCGGGGAUUGUACACACCGCCCGUCACGCC
This 989-nucleotide ribosomal RNA is filed under the name Brachyspira hyodysenteriae. RNAcentral's name for it is "bacterial SSU rRNA". It matches the Rfam family "Bacterial small subunit ribosomal RNA", at positions 397 to 1403 of the family's 1533-position model. Lineage: Bacteria; Pseudomonadati; Spirochaetota; Spirochaetia; Brachyspirales; Brachyspiraceae. The record is from RNAcentral.